Molecule: ribosomal RNA, 443 nt
Filed under: uncultured bacterium
Lineage: Bacteria
Description: partial 16S ribosomal RNA
Rfam family: Bacterial small subunit ribosomal RNA
Source: RNAcentral
CCUACGGGAGGCAGCAGUGGGGAAUAUUGCACAAUGGGCGAAAGCCUGAUGCAGCAACGCCGCGUGAAGGAAGAAGGGUUUCGGCUCGUAAACUUCUAUCAACAGGGACGAAAGAAAUGACGGUACCUGAAUAAGAAGCCCAGGCUAACUACGUGCCAGCAGCCGCGGGAUUACGUAGGGGGCAAUCGUUAUCCGGAAUUACUGGGUGUAAAGGGUGAGUAGGCGGCAUGGUAAGCCAGUUGUGAAAGCCUUGGGCUUAACCCGAGGAUUGCAUUUGAGACUAUAAAGCUAGAGUACAGGGGAGGAAAGCGGAAUUCCUAGUGUAGCGGUGAAAUGCGUAGAUAUUAGGAAGAACACCAGUGGCGAAGGCGGCUUUCUGGACUGAGACUGACGCUGAGGCACGAAAGCGUGGGGAGCGAACAGGAUUAGAUACCCUAGUAGUC